GUAUGACUUGUGAUGAUUAAGCUUUUUUCCCCAUCUUAUCGCAAAUGCUGAUGUGGAUUAUAUAUAAGCCAAUUUAUCUGAAGGCCAUGC
Protopterus annectens (West African lungfish) is the source of this 90-nucleotide small nucleolar RNA. RefSeq annotates it as small nucleolar SNORD12/SNORD106. NCBI's taxonomy places the organism in Eukaryota, Metazoa, Chordata, Ceratodontiformes, Protopteridae. The record is from RefSeq and is a predicted model, not a curated record. The transcript has a single exon.